RNAcentral lists this ribosomal RNA (320 nucleotides) under Pseudococcus viburni (obscure mealybug). RNAcentral's name for it is "partial 28S large subunit ribosomal RNA". Lineage: Eukaryota; Metazoa; Arthropoda; Insecta; Hemiptera; Pseudococcidae. The record is from RNAcentral.
AAACCGUUCGGGKGUAAACGGACAGAGCCCGUGAAUCCGGGCGACGGAAUUCAGAAUCGACGGCGUUCGCGCGUCGUCGGUUCGAUAUUUCCGUCGCCGACCAUUUACACGGACGUCGCGACCCGUUCGGUGUCGGUCUGCAGGAGACGUGCGAAAGUUCGUGUGCGUUCGCCGGGGUUUCGGCUUCGGCGGGCGUUUCGCGAGUGCGCGUUCUUUUCUGGCCGACUCGCCGGACGGUAUGCGAAGCGGUGAUCGCGGCGGCCUCUCGUCAGCGCCGUCGCGUUACCGGUCUGCRASRAAUCUUCRGGCMCUCUUUCCGA